GCUGGUGCCCAAGCCCAAGGGGAAACACCUGAUCCCAUUCCGAACUCAGUAGUGAAGUCCUUGGGGCCGAUGGUAGUCCUACCGGGCGAGAGUAGGUCAGUGCCAGCU
RNAcentral lists this ribosomal RNA (108 nucleotides) under Planctomycetota bacterium. RNAcentral also lists the same sequence under 2 other names. Lineage: Bacteria; Pseudomonadati; Planctomycetota. The record is from RNAcentral.